AGAGAAAGACAGAAAGGGCAGAGAGAGGGGGGUGGUGGGGUGGGAGUGGGUGAGAGGGAAGGUCUUUAGCCAAAUGCGGGAGACUUGGCAGGCAGGAGCUGCACCAGCGGUGUCUACUCCAUUGUUGUCUGGGGCGGGGGGAGAGUUGUUUGUUUAUUUUGUUGUUUUGCCUCUUUGUCUCUUUUGUUCCAAGCAGUUAGUUCGCUUCUUUCCCAGACUCUGGGCUGAUGGAAGACUUUAUGGAUUUCCCUUAAAGAGACAGAGCUAGCCAGUUCACCAGUACUAUCAGUUUCCCAGUCCUAACCAGUCCCUUCCUAAGUGAUUUAUUUUCUAAAAGGAUCCUAUAAAGAAUAGAGAGUCAGUGUUUGUGCUGUUUCUUGCGCCUGAUUAACAAGAGGAAGCUGGUCAAUUUCACUCUCUGCACUAAACCUCCGCCUCCUCCAGGGUUGCCAAAACUGCCCCAGAGGAAAAGAAAGACAGAAGAAAAACCGCAAAGUAAAGCAAGUGAACGUAUGUGCAGAGACCCGCAAGCACAGGUUGCGCCCUUUAAAAAAAUAGGCUCCAAAAUUAGAAAUACAAGCUUGAGUUUUAUUCCGCAGACAGACAGACAGGCGGACAAGGAAGGAAGAGGGCAGUUGGUCCCUCUCUCACACUCACGGAGGACCAGCCCUUUCCCCGGAGGCCCUCUUUCUCCUGAGGCCCACCCUGGAGGGUGAACAGUGUGGGAUUUGGGGUGCAGGAACCUGGCUUGGGUUACUCCCCCGUGCUUGGCCUUCCUCGGGGAGCCGUGGAUCAUACACCGGGCAGCCCAGGGGAUGUGUAGAAGCGUCCAGAAUCACUAGCCUGAAGGGAGCAGAGGUGUGGGAAAGGGGCAUCCGGCCAGCCUUAGACUUUCUGUUCCGACAGGGAAUCCCAGCUUCCUGUUGCCGCAGUAAUUUCAAUAGGUUUUGGUGCGAAGAAGCUUCUGAAAGAAAUGAAAUUCCCAGCCAUCCCCCGGUUUCUGCGGCCUAGAUUUUCACUUUCUCUCCACUCUUCCUUUGAGAAGCGUAGCCUGCUCUGUUCUUUAAUCUAUUUUUCUCCCCAGUACUCCUGCUUUAAAAUCUCCCAGUGAAACCUAGGGUGCUAGAUAUUAAAAUGAAUAAACACAGUCGAGGGGACUGCGGCCUUAGGCAGGAUACUCAGGGCUGAAGGUAAGAAAGGAACCGGGCUCCCUCCUGAACAAGCAGCAAGCACAAAUCAGAGCCCAGCUUCUGCCCUCCUCCUGAGGCCGCCAACGCUGGGAGUGCAGCAGCUCUGGCUCUGUGGUGGGGGCUUUUCUUCCUCCCCAUUCCCGAGGAGCUCGGGAUCUGAAAUACACACAGUUAAGCCCACCGCUCAAACUUGCAGGGGCGCUGUGGGGAGUUAAGAAGCAAGGGCACCACACUCGCAACUGAAUCUGCGCUCUCACCUGAAUUUCCCUCCACGCUUGCGCCCGGCCUUCCCCAACAAACGCUCCUUCCAAAGCCAGCAUGAGGGUCCCCAGCUGUGGCUGCACGGUAUUGCUUCUGGUGGGGUGCCACUUGGAGGUGCUGUAAACCUCCAUCUCCACAUGGGGUGACCCUCUGCAGGGAUUUCUCUGACGCAGCAGUGGUAGCAAAUUUGGCCAAUUCUUGCGGGGACCAGCUUGGGGGCGGGAGUCCUCGCCUUCAGUGUGAGGAGAUGUGACCUAGGUACCCAAGACCACCAGCCUGAGUAGGGCCUGGGCCUACCAAGAGCGCCGCUAGAGCUGCUGAGCGUGUGGGCCACGUGCUUUACGCGCAGGAGAGCUGUCAAGGGGAGCUGGGUGGGGCGCAUCUCCUGAUUCUACUGGAAGGAGGAUGUGGGGGGGAAUUGUAGCCAUCUUGGUUAGAGUGGACGGUUCACGUCUGCUCUUACAUGAGGUAAACAGCAUCCCACUAACCCUGAACUAGGGACAGAACUGAUUCCGACUUGGAAGACGUUGGCUUAGCUGAGCUGAACCUGCUUGUCCUCAGGACGACUUUCUGGGCCGGCGUCGGGCGAUUGACUAUAGGAACCCGUCUGCCACGUGGAAGGAGCAAGGCUGAGUGGGGGCCACAACCCCGCAGGCGUCAAGUCCGAUUUCACGCCCAGCCACGUGGGGGUUCCAGAAGCCCUCGCGGCGCCUCAGGCCCGGCAGUCCUUGCCACACCGCAUGGGCGGAUUUCGUUUCCCUUCCCUGCGCGCUUCUCAGCAGCGCCAGAGGAGCUCCGAUUUUGCGGGAACGUCCCGUUGCUUUGUUGGUUUCAAUGUUGAAGCCCUAAGCUGGUAAAUUUGGACACAGAAUCUCAAACCUCGCUAAUCCUAGACAUAAUUAAAACAUAACGGGCCACAGACUAAGCAGCUGGAGGUGCUUUCUUUGGUAGUCUCCUGACCCCGCACCUGGAGCUGUGCGGCCCCCUGAGGGAGUGAACUUUUCCACCUCCACGGCUCUCCGCAGGAAGGUGCUGUAACAGGGUCUGAUCUCCGCGGCUACCUUGUCUCCCAAACUUCACUCAGAUCCACCGCAUCCACAGCCCAGGAUCAGCGGGUGGGCAAGGAGUGCCGGAGAGGCUUGCCUCGCUCCGGCACGAAUUAGCUUCCCACCACUCCCCAGGAUCUCCCAGGGAGACGAAAUCAGGCCCGAGAAAUCGCGCCCCAGGAGCCGCUGGCCCCCAUUCUGGAGACAACCCGCCCCGCACGAAGGGCGCAUCUCCCGGCCCCCAGCGGGCGACCGGGAGGCAGGCGGAAGCUCAGGGCUCGGGCAGGGAGGAAACUUUUUAAAAAGAAAAGCUAUCUAAAAAAUGAAAAAAAAAAAAAAAAAAAAAAGAAACAAACCUAAACUAAGAGCCGCAGGUCUCCGCCGAAAGUGCGCGGGGGAGGAGGGGGCGGAACCGCAGGCGCGGGCGGUGGGGGCUGAGCGCGGACUCCGGCCGGCACAGGCGGCGCCUCGGGGGCUCCCCGGCUGCGCGCUCCCACCCGAAAGGGCCACCCCAUACACAGCCUGGUGACUGAAGUGAGACGUCCCAGAAAAGAACUACGUUGCUGUGGAGAGAUUUCCACUCCUGAAGCCUUCCAGUCUCAUCCUGAGGCCUGCAGGACACAUGGAAGGACUUUCCCAAGUCAUGCUCCAGAGAAAAGGAAACUGUCCCGGCCUGCAUCGGGGAAGCUAAUUUUCCCCCUUCUUUUCUGCAGGUCUUCCAAGUCUUAUGACUCUAAUUUCCAGAUCAGAAAGCAAGGUUCUGUGUUUACGAUCCUUUGUCCUUUGCAUAUGGAGAGCUCCCAGGGGAACGCUGUGAUGGGCUAAGUACUCUGAGCCUGUUGUGGGCGAGGCCCAGGCGUGGCAACUCCAGAGGAAAUUCACUCACAUCUGCUUCGUGAUCUGCGAGCCCCAAAUCAGGUCAGCUCCCACUGCCUCCUGCCGGACACGCCUCUCCUCCCUACCAGGGAACAGCAGGGCUGGGGGUGGUGACACAGCCAGUAGCAAGUCUGAAAUGCUAUAUGUGGCCUUCUGAGUUUAGUUCUGAUAGCUCCCUCAAUCAUAUGGAAAAUAGGAAAAUUAGCUAAAAAAUUCGGCUUGAAAGCCAUUGAUUCAAGAAAAACAGACAUUGAUGUCCACGUAAAAGCUCGUGUAUGAAUGCUCCUAGCAGCAUUUUCAUAACAGCCAAAAAAGGGACAAGGGCUCCAACGCCUGUCAGCUGAUGAAGGUGGUAUAUUGAUAUAUGGGAAUAUUAUUCAGCAAGCAAAAGAAAGGAAAUACUCACACAUGUGACAAUAUGGUUGAAUUUUUAAAAACAUCAUGCUAAGCGGAAGAGCUGGGGAAAGGGUGGGAGUGUUGGAGGUGACAGCAAAACAGGACGGUUUCUUUCUGGAGCGACGAAAAUGUUCUAAAAUGAAGUUGAUUGUCUAGCUUGGCGGGUGUAUUAAAAACUACUGAAUUUUGCCCCUUAAGUGGAUGAAUUACAUAGUGUGUGAAUUACAUCUCAAUAAAGCUGUUAGUAUUCUUUAAAUUUCUCUUUUCCUGAGCCUAACCCCCUUGGGAUACAUGUGGCCAGGCUUGAAAAAGAGACUUUUUUUUAAGGUAACUAAAAUGAGAAUGCAAAAAAUAAUGAUUUUUCCUUAGGUAGAAAGACUCAUUUGCAGGGUCAUGCAUGCCCCACAAUAUAGUAUUGUGUUUUGAGUUUUGCUGAUUUUUUCCCUCAGUCUGAAAGCAUUAAAAUGUUUAUUCAGUGAUACUAAAGUGGAUCUUAAUUUUUCUUUUUUCCUUUAGGCUGUAGCAUGCUGAAUUUCUGUUAAAGAAACACCAACCAUAUUUUCAGUUCAGAUGUUUAGAUAUUGCUAACCUUAAGCCCUAGGCUCUAUGAUUCAGGCCUUAUCGAAUGACACAUUCUAUCCAGUUCAUAGGAGCACAGCCAAUAAAUCCACUGGUUAGUGUUCAGAAAUUUUGUUAACCAGUUGUUAAACCCAAUCAUUAAAUUUAAAGCAUAUAAACAUAAUUAAAUGAAUUAUACUAAAACUGAAGGCAACAUUCAGAUCUUAUUACUUCCUAAUCAUUUGGUUUCACUUUACUAUUGUCUUGGGUCUUGAAGGGAUUUGUACCGAUUGGAUCUGUGCGGUGGAAAUACUGUAUAGUGAUGUUUACUGUGUAUCUCUUCCCAACUCCAUGUUCAGUGACCUGCCCUUUAGAGCUCGAAAUCGGCUGUGGUGGUGGUGUGGGGGGGGGGGGCUUACAUUAUAUAACGGGCCAGUGUUAUUCACUAGGCUCCCUCUUUCUUGACAAAGAGAUUGUUAAACAUUUACCGGCUGUAGUGGGUUGAAUAGUGGCCCCUCAAAACAUAUCCCAGUCUCUGGAAUUGGUGGAUUUAACCUUAUUUGGAAACAAUGUCCUGGCUGCUAUAAUUAAGGAUCUUGAGAUAAAAUCAUCCUGAUUUCUCUCAGGGAGCACAAAAUACAGUCACGUGUGCCCUUACAGGACAGAGGCAGAGAGUGAUUUGACACAGACACACAGAGGGAACAAAGAAACAAUGUGACCACAGACAGAGGUUCCAGGGAUGUGGCCACAAACCAAGGAAUUCCCUCAGCCACCAAAAGCUGGAAGAAACAAGAAACCGUCUCCUCCAUAGCCGCUGGAGGUAGCAUGACCCUGCUGAUACCUUGAAUUGGGACCCAGAGUGUCUAGAAAUGUGAAGGAAUAAACUGCUGUUGUGUUAAGCCA
Molecule: long non-coding RNA, 5230 nt
Organism: Chinchilla lanigera (long-tailed chinchilla)
Lineage: Eukaryota; Metazoa; Chordata; Mammalia; Rodentia; Chinchillidae
Exons: 3
Source: RefSeq, a predicted model, not a curated record